Molecule: RNA transcript, 3763 nt
Organism: Passer domesticus (house sparrow)
Lineage: Eukaryota; Metazoa; Chordata; Aves; Passeriformes; Passeridae
Gene: VTI1B
Gene name: vesicle transport through interaction with t-SNAREs 1B
Exons: 7
Source: RefSeq, a predicted model, not a curated record
GUCCCGCGUCCCUCGAACACUCUGAAACGCGCUCCUCAGUUAAGGAGCCGAGAUACGUCUGCAGGACAGCUCAGCGGCGGCUGUCGGCAGUGGCAAUUGAAACACAUUUUUACAACUCCCCGUUCAUGUCAUUAACCCUGGCAAGUGGCAUGUAUCGGUGCACACGUGGGCAGGCGCCCAGCCUGGGAGCAGUACCGGUGAGCCCCGGGUCGCACCGGCGCUGCCGGCCCGGGGCGCUCCGUGGCGGCGGCGGACGAGCGCCCCGCGCGGUGCGGCACGGCCGCCUGUCCGGGACUACAGCUCCCAGCAGGCCGUGCGCCAGGCGGCCCCGGCGGCGGAAGCGCCGGGCGGGGCCGGGCCGGGCCGGGGGCUGUGGGGCCAUGGCGGGCCGCGGGUCCGCGUCCUCGGAGCACCUGGAGCGGCUGCACGAGAUCUUCCGCGGGCUGCACGGGGACCUGCGGGGCGUCCCCGAGCGGCUGCGGGGCAGCGCGGCCGAGGAGAAGAAAAAGCUGGUUCGAGAAUUUGAUGAGAAGCAGCGUGAAGCCAACGAGACGCUGCGGGAAAUGGAGGAAGAGCUGAAGUACGCUCCUGUGCCUUUCCGCAACCAAAUGAUGAGCAAAAUCCGAGCCUACAGGAGAGACCUGUCCAUGUUCCAGAGGGAGAUGAGAAGCACAGAUUUGGGGUUGGGCCGUGGAAACCAAGGCGAUACAAAAUAUGGAAUCUUUGCCACAGAAAAUGAACAGAGUACUAACCUGCAGUCCCAGAGGGUGCUGCUUCUCCAGGGCACAGACAGCCUGAACCGAGCCAGCGAGAGCAUCGAGCGCUCGCACCGAAUCGCUGCUGAAACCGACCAGAUUGGCACGGACAUCAUCGAGGAGCUCGGGGAGCAGCGGGAGCAGCUGGAGCGCACCAAGAGCAGGUUGGUGAAUACAAGUGAGAACUUGAGCAAGAGUCGCAAGAUUCUGCGCUCGAUGUCUCGGAGAAUAACCACAAAUAAGUUGCUGCUGUCAAUUAUCAUCAUCCUGGAACUGGCCAUCCUAGGAGGUGUGGUCUACUUCAAGUUCUUUCGCAAGAAAUGAACCUUCAUGACCAAGAUGAGCUUUUCCACUGAUGAGGAAUAGGAUGGGCUAUCUGCUCCCUUUGCCUGUCUGAGGGUUGAACUGAGUCAUGAGACAGCACAUUCAACUGAAACUGUACUGACACUUGAAAGACAGAGAAUGGGAGUAAAAAGAAACAGGCUUGAACUACUGAAAGCCAGGGUGAAGGCUGAAACACUGAUGUGCAUGGCAGCUAGGAUGGAGGAAGCACCGAGCUCAAGGAUUUACUGACAGUUCAUCAAGAUGAGCAUUUUUCAGGUCAAUACUUAAAGGCUGUGUCCAAUCCCUGCCAUGUAGCCUAACUGCUGAAGUAGUAAAGGAUAAUCUCAAACCUAAAAUGUUAGUUACUUACUAUAGCAUCUACCAGCUGAUGACAGCUUAAUAAACUGGACCCUGCUUGUCACUCACAUGAAUUAUUUAAGUGGCAGACUGCAUACUUCCAACAUACUGCAGAUGCACAGUAAGGAGAAGCAUCUGGAUUAUCAUCUCCUUUACUUGGCACAGCUGCAGCUAGGAAGGGUGAGCACACCUUGAGAAAACAGCAGCAUGCAGUUCAUGUUCUAACCUGUGGGAGAGGUUACCCUUUCUAAGUGACCCUCUCCCAGCUCCUAGCGUGACUUCCCCAAACUUGAGCAAGGGUCACAAAGGUGGCAGUAGUGAACUGCAGUAAGGGAGUGGUUAAAGUGAGCACUGCACUGGCAGCCACCAUCAGGACAUUGUGUGUGAGCAGUCCAAGGAGGAAGCCAUCAAAUGCUUCCACUUCCUAUACCAACAGCUCAUUUCAAGUUACUGCCAAAGUUGCUGUAUGUAUUUUUAAAAAUAUAAUGUGUAUCCUGCACUCUGAGCUGAUUCAAACAUCUUGUCAAGCUGCAGAAAAUGCAGAAUUACUUAACAGAACCAAACAGUAUAAAACGGAGCCACAGCUGUAGUGAGUUGUAACCUGUCCCAGCCUUCUGCAAACACUGAAAUGGCUCCAGUGCUCAGACUUCCCUGUAUCCUGGACACUGUCACAGUUCUGUAGGGCCGCCUUACAUCAAGUGACCUGCACUUAAAUAACUUUCAGGAAAGCAGAUGUUCAACAAGAGCAGUUUAAAUUAGAUAAUAGUUCAUUACCUGCCCAUCAGUCGUUCAAAGGUUCUUUCCAUAACUUUUUGAAUUCCAAGGCGAUCGAUAUCCCUCAUGGAAAAAUACUGGAUAUCAAAGUUUUUCAAAAUAUAGCUGUGAAAAUAAUUUUUUUAAAUUAAACAAUCAUUAUUGGUUUAAGCUGAAAUCCAGCAAUUCUUAUGGAUGUGACGUUCAGCUUAUUAUUUCAGCCUUUACAAAAAUAGUUUAAUCUAAACCAACUUACUACUCAGCAGGAUCCACAUCCCUCAAACCAAUGUACACAAUAUCAGAUGCUGAAAGGCAGGGCUUUAGCCAGGAAAAGCCAGGAAGUUGUGGUACCUACAGAGAAAGGUUUGGUAUUAGAUCAGUUAAAUGACAUACUUCACAAAAUGCUAUUCAAUGCUUCCCUGAAAAUUUUGUAUUGAUUUAUAGCAUCCUUUCUUUCUCUAAAUAGAGGAACUUCUGCUCUUGAGGGUUUGGCUUUAUGUAAUCAGUCCUUACCUUCAUUCCUAUGUUCAACUCAGGUAAAGUGAUAUGACUGUAGCUUAUUAUUUAUAUGAGUUGAAUGUUAAUGGAUGAAGUUUUUAACUCUUCUCCAUUUUCCAGUUUGAAGAGGAGAAGGACUAAAAAGCCUGAAUUCAUGAGCAAUAGGUAACUUGCAUCUGUGAGUGUAAGGAGGAAUGCUGAAUGGAUACCCAGAUGUAGAUCACUUACACAGGGCACUUAAUGGUGAUGCUCUGUGACUUACCCAGUACAUUAUGCUUUGGUGGAAGAAUGAAAACCAAGGCAGCUGUAUCUUUUCAGGAGAACUAUCAAAGUCAUGAAACUUACAAAAACAGUAUUAAAGAUGUAUAAAUUCAAAGUGGGAAGUUGAAAAAAAGAAAAAAUAAAAGAGGGGGGGAAAGCAGGGCAAGAAGUUGGGCCUCCACAGUGGGCUACAUCAUGCUGGAUUUUGAUGUAGAAUUGAAGAGAGUAGGUUUAGGACAGCAACUGAAAGAUUAUGAAGUCAUCAUUUUUCAGCUUUGGUAAUUAAAUAGUCAUGGUAUGGAAUUAUAAAACCUUUCAGUUAGUAAUACCUACUAAUUUUAAGAGUGAUUUAAAUUAAGUCAAAUUUCUCUUAUUCUCCUAGCUCUGAAAAUGGCUACAGCCAACACAGCUGUCAGGUGGCUAGAAAGUUUUGUUUCCCUCUUAGACUUCUCAAUUACUAAUUAUUCUAAUUCCAAUAGUGGAUGUUUUUAAAGGUGAACACACCCAUAGCUAUAUUUAAUUACAUUGGGUUAAAUUAGCACAGAUUAUAAAGUAUUUGCUACUCUAAGACAAUGACCUGAAACUUCUCCAGUCAUAAAUUAAGAAGAGGGAUAAAUGAAUAGGAGAUCACUAGGAAAAAUAAAUUCCGGUUUCGAAAAUUAAUUAUGCAAAAUUCAUCAUCCCCACAUCAUAAACUGAGCAUAGUAAUGAUAACAUUAUCAGAUACUCUCUAGUAUUAAUGAUUCAGUAGAUUUAAUACUGCAAUUUCAAUUACACCUCUUUGUAAAUAAAUAAAAUUGAAUGUAUUAAUUGCC